This 447-nucleotide ribosomal RNA is filed under the name uncultured bacterium. Its description in RNAcentral is "bacterial SSU rRNA". It matches the Rfam family "Bacterial small subunit ribosomal RNA", at positions 29 to 521 of the family's 1533-position model. The record is from RNAcentral.
AACGAACGCUGGCGGCAUGCCUAAUACAUGCAAGUCGAACGAAGGCUUCGGCCUUAGUGGCGCACGGGUGCGUAACGCGUGGGAAUCUACCCUCGGGUUCGGAAUAACAGUUAGAAAUGACUGCUAAUACCGGAUGAUGACGUAAGUCCAAAGAUUUAUCGCCCAAGGAUGAGCCCGCGUAAGAUUAGCUAGUUGGUGGGGUAAAGGCUCACCAAGGCUACGAUCUUUAGCUGGUCUGAGAGGAUGAUCAGCCACACUGGGACUGAGACACGGCCCAGACUCCUACGGGAGGCAGCAGUAGGGAAUAUUGGACAAUGGGCGAAAGCCUGAUCCAGCAAUGCCGCGUGAGUGAUGAAGGCCUUAGGGUUGUAAAGCUCUUUUACCCGAGAUGAUAAUGACAGUAUCGGGAGAAUAAGCUCCGGCUAACUCCGUGCCAGCAGCCGCAGU